Long non-coding RNA from Sinocyclocheilus grahami, 243 nucleotides. RefSeq lists it as uncharacterized. The transcript is spliced from 4 exons. The record is from RefSeq and is a predicted model, not a curated record. Lineage: Eukaryota; Metazoa; Chordata; Actinopteri; Cypriniformes; Cyprinidae.
UAUCUAAACUACUACUUGCCAUGGAGAAAGGGUCACUUACAAAUCUUCAGGGCAAAACACUAGAAGAGAUUGAAAUUGAAGAUGAGUUAAACUUUACUGAUUCUGAGCAAAGUGAAGACAGUGAUGCUGAGGAGAUACAUCCACAGACACAAACAGAAACAGAUAUUGACUCUGCCUUUGGAGGCCCAUCUCAAGAUUGUUGUAGGAAAGACAAAGAGCGGAGCAGGAGGGAAGAGCAUGAAC